This 468-nucleotide ribosomal RNA is filed under the name uncultured bacterium. RNAcentral describes it as "partial 16S ribosomal RNA". It matches the Rfam family "Bacterial small subunit ribosomal RNA", at positions 28 to 507 of the family's 1533-position model. The record is from RNAcentral.
GACGAACGCUGGCGGCGUGCUUAACACAUGCAAGUCGAACGGAAAGGCCCUGCUUUUGUGGGGUGCUCGAGUGGCGAACGGGUGAGUAACACGUGAGUAACCUGCCCUUGACUUUGGGAUAACUUCAGGAAACUGGGGCUAAUACCGGAUAGGAGCUCCUGCUGCAUGGUGGGGGUUGGAAAGUUUCGGCGGUUGGGGAUGGACUCGCGGCUUAUCAGCUUGUUGGUGGGGUAGUGGCUUACCAAGGCUUUGACGGGUAGCCGGCCUGAGAGGGUGACCGGCCACAUUGGGACUGAGGUGCGGCCCAGACUCCUACGGGAGGGAGGAGGGGGGAAUAUUGCACAAUGGGCGGAAGCCUGAUGCAGCAACGCCGCGUGCGGGAUGACGGCCUUCGGGUUGUAAACCGCUUUCGCCUGUGACGAAGCGUGAGUGACGGUAAUGGGUAAAGAAGCACCGGCUAACUACGUG